UGGGGAAUUUUGGACAAUGGGCGAAAGCCUGAUCCAGCCAUGCCGCGUGAGUGUAGAAGGCCUUCGGGUUGUAAAGCUCUUUUAGUCGGAAAGAAAGAGUUGCAAUGAAUAAUUGUGAUUUAUGACGGUACCGACAGAAAAAGCACCGGCUAACUACGUGCCAGCAGCCGCGGUAAUACGUAGGGUGCGAGCGUUAAUCGGAAUUACUGGGCGUAAAGGGUGCGCAGGCGGUCUUGCAAGUCAGAUGUGAAAGCCCCGGGCUUAACCUGGGAAUUGCGUUUGAAACUACAAGACUAGAGUGCAGCAGAGGGGAGUGGAAUUCCAUGUGUAGCAGUGAAAUGCGUAGAGAUGUGGAAGAACACCGAUGGCGAAGGCAGCUCCCUGGGUUGACACUGACGCUCAUGCACGAAAGCGUGGGGAGCAAACA
This 427-nucleotide ribosomal RNA is filed under the name uncultured beta proteobacterium. RNAcentral describes it as "bacterial SSU rRNA". It matches the Rfam family "Bacterial small subunit ribosomal RNA", at positions 355 to 774 of the family's 1533-position model. The record is from RNAcentral. Lineage: Bacteria; Pseudomonadati; Pseudomonadota; Betaproteobacteria.